GCUCAUCUAUGCCAUUAUUAAACUAACGGCACAAAAAAAUUUAAAUUUUUUUAACACUAACAUUUUCACGUGUAAUGUCUUCAUUGGUCCGAAUUAAUUCAUGUCCCACUUAAUUUUAACCUCGGUUAGAUCGAUUAUCCCAAAUCCCACCCGAUUAAGCUUUUACCCAAAUAAUUACCUCAAUCCAAAACCAAACCUAAAAGUUCCAAAUCCCCGUCUUCG
This 222-nucleotide long non-coding RNA is filed under the name Nicotiana benthamiana. RNAcentral's name for it is "long non-coding RNA (NBEN_LNC036209)". The record is from RNAcentral. Lineage: Eukaryota; Viridiplantae; Streptophyta; Magnoliopsida; Solanales; Solanaceae.